UAGGGAAUCUUCAGCAAUGGACGAAAGUCUGACCGAGCAACGCCGCGUGAGUGAAGAAGGUUUUCGGAUCGUAAAACUCUGUUGGUAGAGAAGAACGUUGGUGAGAGUGGAAAGCUCAUCAAGUGACGGUAACUACCCAGAAAGGGACGGCUAACUACGUGCCAC
Molecule: ribosomal RNA, 165 nt
Filed under: uncultured bacterium
Lineage: Bacteria
Description: partial 16S rRNA
Rfam family: Bacterial small subunit ribosomal RNA
Source: RNAcentral